AACGAACGCUGGCGGCAUGCCUAACACAUGCAAGUCGAACGAGACCUUCGGGUCUAGUGGCGCCCGGGUGCGUAACGCGUGGGAACCUGCCCUUAGGUUCGGCAUAACUCCCCGACAGGGGUGCUAAUACCGGAUAAUGUCUUCGGCCCAAAGAUUUAUCGCCUUUGGAUGGGCCCGCGUUGGAUUAGCUAGUUGGUAGGGUAAAAGCCUACCAAGGCGACGAUCCAUAGCUGGUCUGAGAGGAUGAUCAGCCACACUGGGACUGAGACACGGCCCAGACUCCUACGGGAGGCAGCAGUGGGGAAUAGUGGAAAAUGGGCGAAAGCCUGAUCCAGCAAUGCCGCGUGAGUGAUGAAGGCAGUAGGGUUGUAAAGCUCUUUUACCCGGGAUGAUAAUGACAGUACCGGGAGAAUAAGCUCCGGCUAACUCCGUG
Molecule: ribosomal RNA, 433 nt
Filed under: uncultured bacterium
Lineage: Bacteria
Description: partial 16S ribosomal RNA
Rfam family: Bacterial small subunit ribosomal RNA
Source: RNAcentral